This 583-nucleotide ribosomal RNA is filed under the name uncultured bacterium. Its description in RNAcentral is "bacterial SSU rRNA". It matches the Rfam family "Bacterial small subunit ribosomal RNA", at positions 338 to 916 of the family's 1533-position model. The record is from RNAcentral.
CCUACGGGAGGCAGCAGUGGGGAAUUUUGGACAAUGGGCGCAAGCCUGAUCCAGCCAUGCCGCGUGUGGGAAGAAGGCCUUCGGGUUGUAAACCACUUUUGUCAGGGAAGAAACGGCUUUUUCUAAUACAGAGAGCUAAUGACGGUACCUGAAGAAUAAGCACCGGCUAACUACGUGCCAGCAGCCGCGGUAAUACGUAGGGUGCAAGCGUUAAUCGGAAUUACUGGGCGUAAAGCGUGCGCAGGCGGCUUUGCAAGACAGAUGUGAAAUCCCCGGGCUCAACCUGGGAACUGCAUUUGUGACUGCAUGGCUAGAGUACGGUAGAGGGGGAUGGAAUUCCGCGUGUAGCAGUGAAAUGCGUAGAUAUGCGGAGGAACACCGAUGGCGAAGGCAAUCCCCUGGACCUGUACUGACGCUCAUGCACGAAAGCGUGGGGAGCAAACAGGAUUAGAUACCCUGGUAGUCCACGCCCUAAACGAUGUCAACUGGUUGUUGGACGGCUUGCUGUUCAGUAACGAAGCUAACGCGUGAAGUUGACCGCCUGGGGAGUACGGCGCGAGGUUGAAACGUCAAGGAUUGACGG